GCUCAGGAUGAACGCUGGCGGCGUGCUUAACACAUGCAAGUCGAGCGAAGCAGUUAAGAAGAUUCUUCGGAUGAAUCUUAACUGACUGAGCGGCGGACGGGUGAGUAACGCGUGGGUGACCUGCCCCAUACCGGGGGAUAACAGCUGGAAACGGCUGCUAAUACCGCAUAAGCGCACAGAGCCGCAUGGCUCGGUGUGAAAAACUCCGGUGGUAUGGGAUGGGCCCGCGUCUGAUUAGGCAGUUGGCGGGGUAACGGCCCACCAAACCGACGAUCAGUAGCCGGCCUGAGAGGGCGACCGGCCACAUUGGGACUGAGACACGGCCCAAACUCCUACGGGAGGCAGCAGUA
Molecule: ribosomal RNA, 350 nt
Filed under: uncultured bacterium
Lineage: Bacteria
Description: bacterial SSU rRNA
Rfam family: Bacterial small subunit ribosomal RNA
Source: RNAcentral